Molecule: ribosomal RNA, 789 nt
Filed under: Herennia maj
Lineage: Eukaryota; Metazoa; Arthropoda; Arachnida; Araneae; Nephilidae
Description: Herennia sp. 'maj' KC-2019 partial large subunit ribosomal RNA
Source: RNAcentral
GAGAGAGUUCAAGAGUACGUGAAACUGCUCCGAGGGAAACGGGUGGGCCCUCGAAGUCCGGCGGCGGGAGGAUUCAGUCGGACCCUUCGGACGACGGCCGUGUGCGCGCAGCUCCGUGCCCCACAGGGACGGAGGACGCGCCGAUCGGAGACGUCGCUUUCGGGGGGUCCGGCGCAUUUCUUUCCCGUCCUGAGGACGCCGCCACCGGUCGGGUGCCACAGCGGCCGUGAGGACGAGAGCCGGCAGGGGACCGGAGGCAGGCCUCGCGCCGGCCUCCGGUCUUUGGCCUUCUCGUCCGGGCUCGCCACCCGACCGAACGGAAAGAGGCCCCCGAGUGGGCCUCGCCGCUUCCUUUCCGCCCUGCGGGAGCGGACGCCGCGGCAGGAGCGCCCCGUUCCUCCGUCGCCCGGGAAGAACCCGGGGACAGGUUUGGAGCGCGAGAGGAGCUUCGUUGGCCGCGACUUACCAUUCCGCGGGAAGGACGGAGCGGUGGGCGGCAAGUAGGUCGGUCCCCCACCCGACCCGCCUUGAAACACGGACCAAGGAGUCUAACAUGCGUGCAAUUCGAUGGGUCUCGAACAAGCCCAAAGGCGGAGCGAAAGCAAAGGCGGCAAGAAGCCCCGCAGCCGGAAUCCCUCUCCCUWCCGAGGAGGGGGCGCACCGACGGCCCGUCCGGAAUCGCCUCGCGCGGUCCGGGCGGCGUUCGAGCACGCACGUUGGGACCCGAAAGAUGGUGAACUAUGCCUGGGCAGGACGAGGCCGGAGGAAACUCCGGUGGAGGUCCGCCGC